AAGACUAUACUUUCUAGGAUCAUUUCUAUAGUUUUUGACUUAAGAAAUGUGUUUCUAAAGUGCAUGGUUUCGCCAACCACAAUGAUGAGUUGUGAUAUUCCCUUGUGAGCAUGAAGCUGACAGAGAACAAUGAUUUAUUUCAUAUGUUCUCUAUCAUUGAGGAUUGUUCUUUGCAUCCACCUAGUGGAGCAAUGAAGAAGGGAAUAUGUUCAGAGUGGUC
Acanthochromis polyacanthus (spiny chromis) is the source of this 220-nucleotide small nucleolar RNA. Lineage: Eukaryota; Metazoa; Chordata; Actinopteri; Pomacentridae. The record is from Ensembl.